CCGUAACUUAGGGAUAAGGGGUGCCACCAUCCGGUGGCCGCAGAGAAUAGGCCCAAGCGACUGUUUACCAAAAACAUAGGUUUCUGCUAAGUCGCAAGACGAUGUAUAGGAGCUGACGCCUGCCCGGUGCUGGAAGGUUAAGGGGAUCUGUUAGAGCAAUCGAAGCAGUGAACUUAAGCCCCAGUAAACGGCGGCCGUAACUAUAACGGUCCUAAGGUAGCGAAAUUCCUUGUCGGGUAAGUUCCGACCCGCACGAAAGGCGUAACGAUUUGGGCACUGUCUCAACAACAGACUCGGUGAAAUUGUAAUUCCGGUGAAGAUGCCGGAUACCUGCGACAGGACGGAAAGACCCCAUGGAGCUUUACUGUAGCUUGACAUUGGGUCUUGGUACUACAUGUACAGGAUAGGUGGGAGGCUUUGAAACCAGGACGCCAGUUUUGGCGGAGCCAUCCUUGGGAUACCACCCUUGUAGUACUGGGACUCUAACCAUAGGCCAUGAAUCUGGUCUUGGGACACUGUCAGGUGGGCAGUUUGACUGGGGCGGUCGCCUCCCAAAAGGUAACGGAGGCGCUCAAAGGUUCUCUCAGUACGGUCGGAAAUCGUACGUAGAGUGUAAAGGCAAAAGAGAGCUUGAUUGCAAGACAUACAGGUCGAGCAAGGAUGAAAAUCGGACUUAGUGAUCCGGUGGUUCUGCGUGGAAGGGCCAUCGCUCAACGGAUAAAAGCUACCCUGGGGAUAACAGGCUUAUCUCCCCCAAGAGUCCACAUCGACGGGGAGGUUUGGCACCUCGAUGUCGGCUCAUCACAUCCUGGGGCUGUAGUAGGUCCCAAGGGUUGGGCUGUUCGCCCAUUAAAGUGGUACGCGAGCUGGGUUCAGAACGUCGUGAGACAGUUCGGUCCCUAUCCGUCGCAGGCGUAGGAAAUUUGAGAAGACCUGUCCUUAGUACGAGAGGACCGGGAUGGACGUACCUCUGGUGUACCAGUUGU
This 986-nucleotide ribosomal RNA is filed under the name Clostridioides difficile. Its description in RNAcentral is "bacterial LSU rRNA". It matches the Rfam family "Bacterial large subunit ribosomal RNA", at positions 1728 to 2724 of the family's 2925-position model. The record is from RNAcentral. Lineage: Bacteria; Bacillati; Bacillota; Clostridia; Peptostreptococcales; Peptostreptococcaceae.